UAUAAAAUAAUAGAAAGAUAUGUUCUAUAUGUAAUUGAUGAAAUUAAUGAUAAAAAAUAGUUUGGAUUAUAAAGAAAACAUUUUUAAAUUAACUGCUAUUUUAAACGUUAGUUACGAUAUACUAAAUAACAUAUCGGUUAAAAUAUAUAAAGAAUACAUAAAAGAUCAAAAGUUAAACAGUAUAAACUCUUUAGAUGAUUUUUUCCAAUUUUUGUUUAACAUGAGUAAAGAAAAACAAAAAGAAAUUGUAUUGGCACAUUUAGAAAAACAAAUACAGGAGUAUUUAAAAAGUAAUAUAGAGUACCAGGAUAAAAUGCAAAAAGUACAUGAUGUCAUUUUUUUUAUAAAUAAUAAUUUACAUAUUCAGAAAAAUGUGUUUAAUAUAUCAUACAUAAGUUCUGAAACAGUUUAUGAGUUUUUAACAUCUUGUAUUAAUGACUAUUUGAAUAAUAAUAAAAAUAAACUAUCCUUUAUGGAGGACCAUAACAAGUAUAUAGUGGAUUUAAGAAAAUAUAUAGACAAAAUUAUGAUUAUGAUAAAAGGAAAAGAAGAAAAUCAUCACCUUCAACAUAUUUUUAACAUUUUGAAAAGAGACAUAAUAAAAAAGGCUAUCUACUUUUUGGACAAAUUUAAAUAUGAUGUGUGCGUAGAAGAAAUUUACAACUUAAUUAAGCUUCAAAUGGUUGAUGAAAAAAAUAAUUUCUCCGAUAUAGAUAUUUAUAAAAGAAAAAAAUUGAUCAACAUUUUCUCAUACCAAGAUAUUAGCGAUGAAAAAAAGAUGCUUUACAUGGAUAUUCUGAAUAAAGCCUUGUUGUAA
This 817-nucleotide long non-coding RNA is filed under the name Piliocolobus tephrosceles (Ugandan red Colobus). RNAcentral's name for it is "lncRNA (ENSPTEG00000000576.1)". The record is from RNAcentral. Lineage: Eukaryota; Metazoa; Chordata; Mammalia; Primates; Cercopithecidae.